Molecule: non-coding RNA, 2356 nt
Organism: Chiloscyllium plagiosum (whitespotted bambooshark)
Lineage: Eukaryota; Metazoa; Chordata; Chondrichthyes; Orectolobiformes; Hemiscylliidae
Source: RefSeq, a predicted model, not a curated record
UCAAACAUUCCUCAUAUGUUAAGUUUUUCAUUCCUGAGACCAUUCUUAUGAACCUCCUCUGCACACACUUCAGGGUUAGUAUGUCUUUCAUGCGAUAUGGGGCCCAAAACUAUGCACAAUAAUCUAUUUUCAGCUAAGCCUCCCUGCCUCCUGCAUUGAUAUGGAAAAUGAUCCCAUUUAUUAUGUAAAGCAACAGUUGAAUAAUAGUGUGCGAUGACCAAAAUUCCCUGUACUCUUACUAGCAUUCCACAUCUUCUCUAGGAUGCUGUAAGACCUAUGAAUUGAACCUCAUUACAAAGUAAACGAUUAAAGAGUGCAGCAUCCCAUUUCAGUGAAAUGGGAGCUUCUGUCUGACAUUUUCAACAGAAACUUAUUUUAACAAUGUCAGCAUUUAUCUGUAUCACCUGCUAUGCUUUUAGGCAGUGACAUGAUUGACAUUUGUACUGUUCGAAAGCCUACUGCAGUAACAUUGGGUGCAGAAGCUAUCUUGUGCUAUGUUUUGCAGUCACUCUGCAAUUUUUCUGCAAAACCACUAGGUGUCAGUAAGUAAAUGGCAUUAUCAUUUUCACAUCAUUGACGUAUGGCAGAAAGCAAGUAACAUCUUGGUGAGCAUAAAACUGAAAUCUAAGUGUGUUAUUAAGAUUAUGCCAUUUUACUGGAAAUAUAAUUAGUGAUCGAUCAAUUAAUAAAGCUAAACUUCAACAGUGUCUCCUCAAUCAUUGUUUGUUAAAUAUGGCAAGGAUAUGAUAAUGAUCCAGUGGCUACAAUUUUGAAAGCAGAGUUAGCUGUAGCCACUGUAAAUCCAACUUCUUUGUCUCUUUCCCUCCGAUGUCUGAACUAUGACUAUUGUUGCCAUAGAAUCUUGGAGCUCCUCCACUUAUGCUCCAUGGUAUGUGCUUUCUGUCUGCCGCAGGUCCUGCUAGAAAACAACCUUGGAUGUUUUUGAUCUAUCCAUGCACGUUUUCCCCCUCCUUUGAUCCUAUUAUUCUUGCCAUCCAUUCUUUUUACAAUCUAAAUACUGUGGACAUUACCAUCUCCUGUAUCAUGAGUUCAUUAAAUGUCAAAUUAAAAACCUCAAUUGGGUAACACACAAGUGUGUACCAAAUAAAACUGUUUAGGCAAAGGUUUGUUUUGUGGCCUGUAAAAGAAGCAUCUUGUAGGAUAGUCAAAUCAAUUGUUUUGGAAUAUGUAAUAUUUAACUUAAAAUUGCUUCCAUAAUGUUUCAACCUAUUCUCGUGAUUUAUCAACAUACAUAACAUGCAAACGAAUCAAUUGACGACCACUGGCCCCAAGAGUCUGCUUCACCAGUUGAUCGGAUCAUGGCUGAUCUGAUUGUGGUUUAAACACCUCCUUGCUGUCUCAUACCCAUAACCUUUUGACUCCUCCAUUAAUCAAGAUUUGAAUAUAUAUGAGCUGGACAGUAACCUUCUUGAUAUGUGAAGCUUCUAACAAAAUCUUUUACUAGGAUUUCAUGACCUUUUUACAAUAAACAAAAAUCUGAAAGUUAAUUAAAACCAAAACCAGGUGCCUCUUUUUUGAAGUUGAGCUUCAGGGAUGUGAGGCUCAGUCAUCAGAGAAAAGCACUAAACUGUAUGAAACUUCAAAAGGGGCUUUGCAGCAAAUAAUAUAAAAUUAUUUUUGUAAUCAAGAGGAUUUAAAAAUAUGCUGAAGCAUGCAGUUCUGUCUUAAGAACAUACUUUAAAAAAUCAAAUUCCCAUUUUGGGUUUUUGCCACCUUAUUUUCAAAACUUAGAUACUUGUUUCCUUUGGAUUGUAAGUCUUGCCAUAUGUGAAAAUCUGACCUAAAGUGCAAAAUGUCACGGAGUGAAGUCAUUCUUCUAACAACCAAUCAAUAGUUGAAAAAUCAGGAUAGCUAACUGCUUAAUGGUAAAGCUGAAUGUUUCACUUUUGUGUAUUGGAGUGCUAAUUACUUGUUGGUCUUAACUUUAAUUCAUGUACGCAUGUAUUUUUCAUAGGUGAGGCAGGGAUUAAAAACAUUUUCCAACUGGCCAACGUACCCACAAUUAUACGUGAAUGGUGAACUUAUUGGUGGGCUUGAUAUUGUGAAGGAAUUGGAAAAAAGUGGAGAGCUUCUUUCAGCCUUAAAAGGAGAAAAUGCUAGUUAGAAUUUUACAAAAUGCACAACCACCGUCAUACAUAAUAUGUCAAUUUUAAAAAAUGUUCGUUGGCAAUAAUGUGGUCUAAAGUCAGGUAAUAUAAUAGUGAAUAUAAAUCAUUUUUGAUGUUUUCUUGCUUCGGUAAUUCAUGAAUAACAUGGUAGCACAAAGUGAGCAAAAUGCAAAUAAGUUAGAACAGUAAAAUAUUAUACCUCUUAUUAUAAUAAAACAUAACUAUUA